ACAAGGUUUCUGUAGGUGAACCUGCGGAAGGAUCAUUAAUGAAAUGAAACAUGUGAAGGGUUGUAGCUGGCCUCUGUCUUUGGAGGCAUGUGCACGCCUGGAUCAUUUGUCCCCUUUACACACCUGUGCACAACAUGUAGCUUGGGAUGAUCACGGAGGCUGUCUUUUUGGCAGUGCCGAAUGCCCUUGCUAUGAUCUUUUGAUACACACCUUUAUAACGUUCAUGUUGAUGAGACUUUUUUGAAUGGAAAUACAACUUUCAGCAACGGAUCUCUUGGCUCUCGCAUCGAUGAAGAACGCAGCGAAAUGCGAUAAGUAAUGUGAAUUGCAGAAUUCAGUGAAUCAUCGAAUCUUUGAACGCACCUUGCACUCCUUGGUAUUCCGAGGAGUAUGCCUGUUUGAGUGUCAUGAAGUUCUCAACUGCCUUGGCCUUUUGUGCCAAAGUGAAGUUGGAUUUGGAGGUUUUGUUGCUGGCAUGGAGUGUCUGAUGAUGCUUGCUUGUUGGCUCCUCCUAAAAGCAUGCAGAGCUUGUCAAAGUGGCGUCGAUGUGAUAAUUAUCUACGUUGUCGUCAAAGUGUGCAGAUCUGCUGUGGGGUGUGACCUUUUGAACCAUUUGACCUCAAAUCAGGUAGGACUACCCGCUGAACUUAAGCAUAUCA
This 659-nucleotide ribosomal RNA is filed under the name uncultured Thelephoraceae. RNAcentral describes it as "eukaryotic LSU rRNA". The stretch from base 255 to 408 matches the Rfam family "5.8S ribosomal RNA". The record is from RNAcentral. Lineage: Eukaryota; Fungi; Basidiomycota; Agaricomycetes; Thelephorales; Thelephoraceae.